Pelobates cultripes (western spadefoot toad) is the source of this 2648-nucleotide non-coding RNA. Lineage: Eukaryota; Metazoa; Chordata; Amphibia; Anura; Pelobatidae. The record is from the annotation of a GenBank genome assembly.
AGUUAUGAGAUGGGCCGGAAUGGAAGAGGAUACAGAAGGGAGGGAGGAAGCGACCACAGGGGUGUUGGUAGGGGAAGUUACCAUCAUGGAAGGGAUGGGUGUGUUAGAAACAGGAAAUGGUGACAGUGAAAGGGCAGAAGUUAUAGGGAGAUGUGAAAGGAAUUGGGCGUGGACAGAAGCAACAGGAGUUGGAAGAGAGGGUGUAGCAGCAGAGAUGGGUAAGGGAGGAGGAGGCAAAGAAACAGGAAGGGAAUGUGUGACUGGGAUUUGGAGUGGAGAAGGAGAGGGGGCUGGAAAAUAACAUGAACCGUCUGCCUUAAGGACAGGGUACAAGGCAGCAGGGGCUGGAGAGCAUGUGUUAACAUGAAUGGGCUGUGUGGGGGCUCCAGGGGCUGGUUGAGCCACCCCCCUUUCUGGCCAGGCCUUAUCAUAUGGAGGAGGGCUGGAAACGCCUUCAACAGAUUCAACAAAACAACCUUUUUCAUGAUACACAAAGACUUUCUUCCCCUCUAGGUCUAUCUCCUCCUCAAUCCACCCCUCCUUCUUAAUCCCUCGAGCCACCCGAUACCAAGAAUCUGCGGCCUUCAUUAACCCAUUAUCUAACAAUAUCCCAUGUUUAUCGUUUAAAAGUUUCCUCCAGUCUUCCGCCUGCAAUCUGCCACUGGGGGACAUAGUAAUACCACACAGUUUAAUAAUUUUCUUAAGUUUGGCUACAGCUAAGUCCCCAGCUCUUUCCUUUACAAGGUCACAUGCUAACCGACCCCGGGAGGGGCUAACAUUAGUUUGACCCAUUUAUACACAACAGUGGUAUGGAUAGAGAGAAGCAGACCCUGGACCAAAAGAGAGUGAGAGACUGAGAGUUAGAGAGAGAAAGAGAGAGAGAGAUUUAGGAAGAGAAAGAGAAGGAGAGAGAAAGAGACUGACUGAAAGAGAAAGAGAGGGAGAGAGAGAGAAAUUUAGGAAGAGAAAGAGAAGGAUAGAGAAAGAGACUGACUGAAAGAGAAAGAGAGGGAGAGAGAGAGAGAGAGAGAGAGAGAGAGAGAAAGAGUUAGGAAGAGAAAGAGGAGAGAGAAAGAGACUGACUGAAAGAGAAAGAGAGGGAGAGAGAGAGAGAGAUAGAGAGUUAUAGACUAAGGGAAACGUGCAUCAAGGUCACAUGUACGUCCUAGCAGAGCACAGAGAACCAGAGUGAUGCAAAAAAAAAAAAAGGGAGGGGGGAGGAGAGGGUGAAGCAGAGUUGCAAGCACAAAGUAUUUAACCAUGUAAGUGCCUAAGCACAGCUCUCCUUAGUACAAAAGAUAGAAUAGGAGCGCUACAAGACACAGAUAAAAUAUAGAACAAUUAACAUAUACAUGCACAAUAUACAGAUGUGAUUAAAUCACAAAGUCCUUAAAAUAAAUGCCGGCUUAUAAUAACUCAGGUCACAUACAUAGAAACACGCAAACACACAUACAACAACUUAACUCUUUGUUCGUUGUUUUUUUAUUAAAACAACAAAAGAAACGCCACGAUCUAUUUUUAAUAUGAAUCGGACAACUAAACCACCAGGGGCUAUUCUGCACACCUGAAUUUAAAUGAAAAACAACAAAAGAAACGCCAAGAAUGAAUAUUAAAAUAUUAAAAUAUUAAUAUAAUCUGGCCUAAAAACUCCAGGUAUAUUUGCACCCUGAAUUAAAUAAUCACAAGAAAGUAAAACAGAUUCUCAAACAGACACUUUCACACAUAAAACUCACACUCAGGACUCAGGCUGUAGAUAGACAAGUGACAGGUUCUAUAUAAAAGGGGACAUUCGGGCAUAUAUAUAUUACCUGUCUGAAGACGUUAAACACCGGAAGCCGAAUGUGAAGGCACGGAGAACAAGAGAAAUCCAAAGAAAGGAAAAUAUAGGUAAGUAACUCAUUUACCAUAUGCAGAGGUGAUCAGGCUCCGUUUCCAAUCUCUGGGAAUCCUUUGUUCUCCUGUCUUGGGAUCUGACGGCUACCUUAGUAACGUAUCCCUUUCGUCCCUGUUCGGGCGCCAAAAUUGUUUUGGAUCAAAGAAAACUUUGAUAAUUUGUCUAUCUACACCUUCCAAAUUAUCUGAUUAAUGCGUGCACGCUUUCCCUAGAAGUAAUUCACACCGGAGACAAAGUUUCUGAUCAGUGAAAAACUCAGGAAUGCUUUAUUCCCCGGAGUGGGGGCUCCUUCUUAAAGCAAAAAUACGUCACAGUUUAAACAUACAGUAUACAUUCACCAAUUGGUUAACAGAGAAAGGGGCUCUUGUUUAAACCCCCCUACAGGAUGUAGUGUCAUCAUUAUAGACUUCUGGAUACACGAUGGGAGGGGGGAGUGAGAAGUUUCUAUCAGUUCUAAACCACUGAUCCUCCAUUUAGCUAUACGUGGCAUAUAGCUGUUAACUGGCACAAAGGUAGUGGGGGAGGAGUUAGUAAAGGGAGUUAUCACAGGAACUUUGGUUACACAGGGUUUUAUUGAUUUGAAGGGGGGGGGGAGGCUAGCAGGAUGUGAGGAAUUUACAUAGUAAACAGCAGCUGACCACAUUGUAGGGGGGAAGGGAAUAUUUACUCUAGAAGCCAGUUUUAACAUAGUGAACAGAGAAUAAAUAGACAUUAGUAAAUAGCCAUUUUAUUCUAAUUCAUCUGUCCAUAACAG